CUUGGCUUUGAACGGAAUUCAUCUUGGUUGCCGUUUGAUUUGAGGUUCUCGCGCUAUACCGCGGGGGAGGCAUAUAAAACCUUCUUGGACCAUUGGACGCCGGGCGUGUCGUAACCUCGACCCCCCGCGAUGCAAGUUACUAGUAGGGCUAUAGCGGGAGUGGCUGAUCAUUCAGGCGAUGUCGGGAUCCCUUCUCGGGGUUCUUCAUUGUUCCAGUAAGGGCUUUUUCUGAGUGGGCGCGCGUCGAAGACUCGCACACAGUACACUACGAUCGACUCGUUGACUUUAACAAAAAAUCAUAUCUGACCUCAGUUUAGGUGAGACUACCCGCUGAACUUAAGCAUAUCAGUAAGCGGAGGAAAAGAAACUAACAAGGAUUCCCUUAGUAGCGGCGAGCGAACAGGGAAGAGCUCAGCACCGACCUCGCGCCCCCGGCAAAGCGACGCAGAGGAAUGUGGUGUUUGGGAGAACCGUGCGUGUCUGUCCGGUAUAUUCAUCCAAGUCUCCAUGACGGGGCGAGCAACCCCACAGAGGGUGUCAGGCCCGUAGCCAAUAGCCGCCGACAUCGGACCUUCGGUUCCUUC
Molecule: ribosomal RNA, 584 nt
Filed under: Chydorus sphaericus complex sp. A2
Lineage: Eukaryota; Metazoa; Arthropoda; Branchiopoda; Diplostraca; Chydoridae
Description: eukaryotic LSU rRNA
Rfam family: Eukaryotic large subunit ribosomal RNA (bases 304-584)
Source: RNAcentral